CAGGUUAAUUAUUAGUUAAAAACUUCUUUUACAUGGGAGUUUAUUGUUGUGCAAUUCAUCAUAGCUUGA
Molecule: transfer RNA, 69 nt
Filed under: Allacta xizangensis
Lineage: Eukaryota; Metazoa; Arthropoda; Insecta; Blattodea; Pseudophyllodromiidae
Description: tRNA-Val
Source: RNAcentral